GAGACGCACCUCCAGGGCAAGACUUGCUUCAGUGGGGCUUUGGUGCUCACUGAGUCUGCCCCCUGAGUGUGUCCCU
This 76-nucleotide microRNA precursor is filed under the name Myotis lucifugus (little brown bat). Its description in RNAcentral is "mir-9229 microRNA precursor family". It matches the Rfam family "mir-9229 microRNA precursor family". The record is from Rfam by way of RNAcentral. Lineage: Eukaryota; Metazoa; Chordata; Mammalia; Chiroptera; Vespertilionidae.